AUACGGAGGAUCCGAAGCGUUAUCCGGAUUUAUUGGGUUUAAAGGGAGCGUAGGUUGACGUAUAAGUCAGCUGUGAAAGUUUACGGCUCAACCGUGAAAUUGCAGUUGAUACUGUAUGUCUUGAGUGUACAAGAGGUGGGCGGAAUUCGUGGUGUAGCGGUGAAAUGCUUAGAUAUCACGAAGAACUCCAACUGCGAAGGCAGCUCACUGGGGUACAACUGACACUGAGGCUCGAAAGUGUGGGUAUC
RNAcentral lists this ribosomal RNA (248 nucleotides) under uncultured bacterium. RNAcentral describes it as "partial 16S ribosomal RNA". It matches the Rfam family "Bacterial small subunit ribosomal RNA", at positions 523 to 769 of the family's 1533-position model. The record is from RNAcentral.